This 204-nucleotide ribosomal RNA is filed under the name uncultured bacterium. RNAcentral's name for it is "partial 16S ribosomal RNA". It matches the Rfam family "Bacterial small subunit ribosomal RNA", at positions 524 to 727 of the family's 1533-position model. The record is from RNAcentral.
UACGAAGGGGGCUAGCGUUGCUCGGAAUCACUGGGCGUAAAGGGUGCGUAGGCGGGUCUUUAAGUCAGGGGUGAAAUCCUGGAGCUCAACUCCAGAACUGCCUUUGAUACUGAGGAUCUUGAGUUCGGGAGAGGUGAGUGGAACUGCGAGUGUAGAGGUGAAAUUCGUAGAUAUUCGCAAGAACACCAGUGGCGAAGGCGGCUC